This 173-nucleotide small RNA is filed under the name Streptomyces mangrovisoli. RNAcentral's name for it is "c-di-AMP sequence". It matches the Rfam family "c-di-AMP riboswitch aptamer (ydaO/yuaA leader)". Rfam says of the family: This family represents a conserved RNA structure found upstream of the ydaO and yuaA genes in Bacillus subtilis and related genes in other bacteria. The ydaO/yuaA element is thought to act as a genetic "off" switch for the ydaO and yuaA genes in its native state. It is believed that the element may be triggered during osmotic shock leading to activation of ydaO, a predicted amino acid transporter gene, and members of the yuaA-yubG operon which code for KtrA and KtrB K+ transporters. Lineage: Bacteria; Bacillati; Actinomycetota; Actinomycetes; Kitasatosporales; Streptomycetaceae. The record is from RNAcentral.
GCGCGGCCUCCGUCGAAUCCGGUACGGCCCCCAGGGGCGAACCGGAGCCGGGGACCCACCGAUCUCCGGGGUGAAUCGACCCGACCGCCCACCCGGGCGAGGGCCGUAGGGCACGCCUUCCGAUACCGCCCGAACCCGUCAGCUAACUCGGUAGGCGGAGCACGGAAGGAGUA